UCCAGGGGCAUCUUUGACAUCCAGCCAUUGUUACCUUAAUGAUGCGAGCCAAACCAAAAUCAGCCACUUUACACACCAGGUCUUCUCCGACCAGGAUGUUUCGAGCGGCAAGGUCCCUGUGGACAAUGUGUCGAUCUUCCAGCUCAAAGUCUUUGGAUUAUCUCAAGUCAAAGUGGAGAACUCAAUGAUCUGGACUGUGGACUUCAGCUUUGAUCGUCAAAGCGUGACAGCUUCCCAGACUUCCCCAAAAUGGCCCUCCCCCAGCUUCUUGAGUAGCUGAAACUCCUCCCUCGGCCGCUCCCACGGCUCCAUGUCAAACAACUCUCUCUGCACGUGGACACACAUGCAACAAAGCUGAC
This is a long non-coding RNA of Puntigrus tetrazona (Sumatra barb), 359 nucleotides long. RefSeq lists it as uncharacterized. Lineage: Eukaryota; Metazoa; Chordata; Actinopteri; Cypriniformes; Cyprinidae. The record is from RefSeq and is a predicted model, not a curated record. The transcript is spliced from 3 exons.